This 253-nucleotide ribosomal RNA is filed under the name uncultured bacterium. Its description in RNAcentral is "partial 16S ribosomal RNA". It matches the Rfam family "Bacterial small subunit ribosomal RNA", at positions 524 to 776 of the family's 1533-position model. The record is from RNAcentral.
UACGAAGGGGACUAGCGUUGUUCGGAAUUACUGGGCGUAAAGCGCGUGUAGGCGGCCCUGUAAGUCGGGUGUGAAAUCCCACGGCUCAACCGUGGAAGUGCAUUCGAAACUACAGGUCUAGAGUUCUGGAGAGGAAGGUGGAAUGCUUAGUGUAGAGGUGAAAUUCGUAGAUAUCAAGCAGAACACCGGUGGCGAAGGCGGCCUUCUGGACAGUAACUGACGCUGAGACGCGAAAGCGUGGGGAGCAAACAGG